This 72-nucleotide transfer RNA is filed under the name Lanius tephronotus. RNAcentral's name for it is "tRNA-Glu". It matches the Rfam family "tRNA". From Rfam's summary of the family: Transfer RNA (tRNA) molecules are approximately 80 nucleotides in length. Lineage: Eukaryota; Metazoa; Chordata; Aves; Passeriformes; Laniidae. The record is from RNAcentral.
GUUCCUAUAGUUAAAUUGUUAUAACGGUGGUUUUUCAGGCCAUAGAUCCUGGUUAAUGUCCAGGUAGGAAUU